RNA transcript from Lotus japonicus, 2017 nucleotides. RefSeq lists it as uncharacterized. NCBI's taxonomy places the organism in Eukaryota, Viridiplantae, Streptophyta, Magnoliopsida, Fabales, Fabaceae. The transcript has 3 exons. The record is from RefSeq and is a predicted model, not a curated record.
GACGUCGGCCAGAUGGUUCGUCAUCACGUAUUUCGCUAACGUUUUUCUCAGCAGAUGCCCAAGGAUUCGUGAAGAAAGGUUAUUUGUCUGUGUAUGCAAUCAGCCACAAUCAGCAAUUGCGUGGGUUGAGACUCCCCAAGGCUCUUCGUCAUCUUCCCUCAUGCUACCAUUAACAGCUGUUUGGUUUGCUUUACAGAUGGAUUACAGAUGGAGGCUCUCACUAUCCUGGGGUUAGGAUUGAGGCCAUUGCUAGAAACAAUCUAAUCACUAAAUUUAAGAAUGAUCUACUUGAAGGGAAGGUAUAUCGGAUAUCGACUUUUAUGGUUUCAACCAACAGUGGCUUUUUCAUGGCUUCCCACAACGAGUUCAAGAUCAAUUUUGUGGAUAAAACCAAGGUCGUUCUUGAAGAAGCUCCCAUGACUCCCAUGAUUCCAUUGAACAUGUUUACCUUUAGGGAUUCAGAAGAAAUCAUAGCUACUGGUGGUGAUUAUAACUACUUGAUUGUUGGCAGACAUGAUUGGCUUGGUUACUAACGUUUCAAAGGAAAAAUAGUACAGUAAGGGUUGUGGUGUUACUAGGAUGAUUGAGAUGGAGUUGACUGAUGAUAAGUAAGAAUUUCUUUUUGGCCACCUUACUGCCUGCUUUUGUGUGUAUCAUGUUAUUUAUCUUUUAGUUAAUUCUUUAUAUUAAAAAAUUUGCAUAGGUUUUGAGGGAACAAUUAUUUGAACACUAAAUGUACUUUGUCUCCAAGUGGGUUUUCUCACAUUGAAGAUGGUAAUAAGGUAUUGAAGUAGCCUAUCGUCUCACGUUAAUUUAUCUCCUAUUGGUUUGUAUUAUAAAUUUUUUGUAUUUCAAAUUUAGUAGAGGUAUCAUACUCUGAUUUUUCUUUCUAUGUACUGGGAAUUUUAUUGUGCUUAACACCACAUGAGAGGUCUACGUUGUGAAGUUUUGUGGUUCGGAUAGAGUUCAAUACUUGUGUGAUUGGACCUUAUAAUCAUAGAAUCCCACUUGGAGAUAACAAUUAAAAUUAGUAUGGUAUGUGACCAAGUUUGUGGAGCGUAGCAAUAUAGAAAGUCUGGCUCACAAAUUCACAUCACUAUAAUUUUUUCAUCUAUGCAGCAUACUUUUAUGAUCAGCAUAUUUUCUUCCUUAUGUAAUUUCUAUAACCAACAUCGAUGAUGGUUUCACUCUUACUGCAGCUCAUUGUCUUUUUUAGCAGCCUUGGAGUUCUAUCUGCUGAAAAUUAACUUACGCCAAGUGAAUGAUUUUAGCGGUUUGCUUCUGAGAAAGAUUUAAUACUCUUUCUGUUGUAAGGCUCACUGACUUGAUAUUAGUGCUGAGUUCAAGUGUGUGACAAUUUGCUACUGUUUAGUUUUGAUCUAUAAAUCUUCUUGGAACUUGAUGGAUCAAGCAGAGAAGGAACACUUCAUGCCCUGGUUUGUUACUUUUUUAUGCAAGUUUAAUCUGUCAUCUUGUCAUAAGAUCCCCUGUUACUUUUGUCUUCCACAUAGCUUUCUAUAGCCUAUUAGUUUUUUUGUUUGAAUUCGGUCACUUAGGAGCAACAUUCUUUAUUCAUUGGCACUUUAUUUUUCUGAAUGUAAAAAGAUUUGGGUUACAAUUUUUUUCGUUCUCUCCAUGGGCUCGGAGAAUUCUCUGGCUAUGCAAUUUUUUCAUUGAGUUCGUUCCUGGCCCUUUUAAAUCUGAAUCUGAUAUUAUGUGUUCAUCAUUAAUUUUUAACCAUGAUUUGACUCUUACUUAUUUAAGCAUUGCAGCCUUAAGUGGUGGCCAUUUGAGCUGCUAACCUUGCGUCUUCUACCGAAUCCAGAGAUUGAAACUUCAGUGGCUGUGGCGAAGGUUUGAAGAGUGUUUGGCUGCACAAUUGACUGAGGCACAGUCCUCAUGCUGGUUCUUUUUUUUUUUACUUUCCUUAAACUAAGCUUGUGAGAAGCUGCCCAAGUUAACCCUAUUGAAGGAAGUCAAAUUUACAAUGCAUAUAUACAAAUUAUUUACACAGAUA